CGAACGCUGGCGGCGUGCUAACACAUGCAAGUCGAACGCCGAAAGGGACUUCGGCCUGAGUAAAGUGGCGCACGGGUGAGUAACGCGUAGAUAACCUGUCUUCAUGUCUGGAAUAAUACGCCGAAAGGGGUACUAAUACCGGAUAUUCUUGCUUUUCAUAAGUUAUGCAAGCAAAGGUGGCCUCUGCAUAUGCUACUGCAUGAAGAGGGGUCUGCGUACCAUUAGCUAGUAGGUGGGGUAAUGGCCUACCUAGGCGACGAUGGUUAGCGGGUCUGAGAGGAUGAUCCGCCACACUGGCACUGGAACACGGGCCAGACUCCUACGGGAGGCAGCAGUGAGGAAUAUUGCGCAAUGGGGGAAACCCUGACGCAGCGACGCCGCGUGAGUGAGGAAGGCCUUCGGGUCGUAAAGCUCUGUCAAGAGGAAAGAAGUGUACAAUGGCUAAUACCUGUUGUAUUUGACGGUACCUCUAAAGGAAGCACCGGCUAACUCCGUGCCAGCCGCCGC
Molecule: ribosomal RNA, 507 nt
Filed under: uncultured bacterium
Lineage: Bacteria
Description: bacterial SSU rRNA
Rfam family: Bacterial small subunit ribosomal RNA
Source: RNAcentral